CCUACGGGAGGCAGCAGUGGGGAAUAUUGGACAAUGGGGGGAACCCUGAUCCAGCCAUGCCGCGUGUGUGAAGAAGGCCCUCGGGUUGUAAAGCACUUUCAGUGAGGAAGAACGCCUGGUGGUUAAUACCCAUCAGGAAAGACAUCACUCACAGAAGAAGCACCGGCUAACUCCGUGCCAGCAGCCGCGGUAAUACGGAGGGUGCGAGCGUUAAUCGGAAUUACUGGGCGUAAAGCGCGCGUAGGUGGCUUGAUAAGCCGGUUGUGAAAGCCCCGGGCUCAACCUGGGAACGGCAUCCGGAACUGUCAAGCUAGAGUGCAGGAGAGGAAGGUAGAAUUCCCGGUGUAGCGGUGAAAUGCGUAGAGAUCGGGAGGAAUACCGGUGGCGAAGGCGGCCUUCUGGACUGACACUGACACUGAGGUGCGAAAGCGUGGGUAGCAAACAGGAUUAGAUACCCCUGUAGUC
Molecule: ribosomal RNA, 465 nt
Filed under: Vreelandella stevensii
Lineage: Bacteria; Pseudomonadati; Pseudomonadota; Gammaproteobacteria; Oceanospirillales; Halomonadaceae
Description: partial 16S ribosomal RNA
Rfam family: Bacterial small subunit ribosomal RNA
Source: RNAcentral